ACCCAGCUGGCUCAGUCCACAGAGCCUAUGACUUUCGAUCUUGGGGUCAUGAGUUCAAGCCCCAUGUUGGGCA
This 73-nucleotide transfer RNA is filed under the name Mustela putorius furo (domestic ferret). It matches the Rfam family "tRNA". From Rfam's summary of the family: Transfer RNA (tRNA) molecules are approximately 80 nucleotides in length. Their secondary structure includes four short double-helical elements and three loops (D, anti-codon, and T loops). Lineage: Eukaryota; Metazoa; Chordata; Mammalia; Carnivora; Mustelidae. The record is from Rfam by way of RNAcentral.